GAUGAACGCUGGCGGCGUGCCUAAUACAUGCAAGUCGAGCGAACGGACGAGAAGCUUGCUUCUCUGAUGUUAGCGGCGGAGGGGUGUGUAACACGUGGAUAACCUACCUAUAAGACUGGGAUAACUUCGGGAAACCGGCGCUAACACCGGGACAUCUUUUGAACCGCAUGGUUCAAAAGUGAAAGACGGUUUUGCUGUCACUAAUAGAAGGAUCCUCGCUGCAUUAGCUAGUUGGUAAGGCAACGGCCUACCAGGGCAACAAAGCUUAGCCGACCUGGGAGGGUGUCCGCCCACACUGGAACUGAGACACGGUCAAGCCUCCUACGGGGGGAGGCAGUAGGAAAUCUUCCGCAAUGGGCGAAGGCCUGACGGAGCAACGCCGCGUGAGUGAUAAAGGUCUUCGAAUCGUAAAACUCUGUUAUUAGGGAGGAACAUAUGUGUAGGUAACUGUGCACAUCUUGACGGUACCUAAUCAGAAAGCCACGGCUAACUACGUG
RNAcentral lists this ribosomal RNA (497 nucleotides) under uncultured bacterium. RNAcentral describes it as "partial 16S ribosomal RNA". It matches the Rfam family "Bacterial small subunit ribosomal RNA", at positions 28 to 507 of the family's 1533-position model. The record is from RNAcentral.